RNAcentral lists this long non-coding RNA (698 nucleotides) under Homo sapiens (human). RNAcentral describes it as "non-protein coding lnc-KIZ-9:2". The record is from RNAcentral. Lineage: Eukaryota; Metazoa; Chordata; Mammalia; Primates; Hominidae.
AAAAAGAAUAUUUUCCUCUGAACGCUUUUCAUAAUAUAGUGAUGAUACAUGAAGCACAUUCUAAUUGGAAUAACCUGUAUCCUACCUUUUGAUAAUUGAGAUGUCAGAUUGGUGAGAGAUUAGGUAGACAUAUUGAGGACUGUAACACUGAUAGUUAAUAUCUGGUUUCGUGCUUAGAGAGCAAACCAAGUUAAAUUUGGUGUGACCUGGGAAUAGAUGAAGUUUGUUGACAAGUAGAAAGUAACACAGUGCACUGAGUAUUGACCGUUAAGUACUCUGUUUGCGUUUUACUCCUACUGUCAAGAUUUCAACUCACUAGACACUGUCUUAACACAUCUUAGAUAUCUCUUUCCUAUGAGUAUAACUUGCUUUUGUUUUCUUUUUGCUGUGUUUACUCACAUGUUUUUAUAGUCAAAAGAAACUUGUCAGGUGAAAAUAUAAUGGUGAAUUUUAAAAUGAAACUCAUGGCUGUUUUACUUUCAACUGCUGUUCCAAUAAUGUCUCUAACCACCUUACAUGCUCAGUAAAUGUCUGCUGUGACUGCUUUUGGUUUUACUUGAUGAUGACAGCUCUAGAGAUGGAAAGAAAUGUCACCAAAUGUAUUUUAAGGAUAAAAAUCUUACCAAAUUGUGUUUGUGAAUAUGAAGUUUGGCAGUAACUACUGAUUUUUCAAAGAUGCUUUGUAGCAUUUUUAAAGU